CUUUUCUCUCCUUGCUGCAAUGAGAAGACACAGCAAGAAGACUUCUGUCUGCAAGCAAGGAAGAAGGCUCUCACCAGGAACCGAAUUGGUUAACACCUUUAUCUUGGACUUCCCAGCCUUUAGAACUAAAGACAACUGAAUAAAUUUGGUAGCAGAAUAGGAAGGAACAAAUACAUGAGCAUACUCGGAAUGAGAGAAGACAGCAGCAGUAAUGAAAUUUUUAGCAGCACAUGCCCAUACCGUGGCCCCUUCCUGAUUCCUGUAAUGUACAUGUGGAAUUGACUGUGCAGCUAUGGGCCCUACCUUUGAGGAUGUGCUGUCUUUGGUGCCGCAGAAAUGCAAAAUCAGCAGACACAGAGAAAGCAUGAGUGAUUCAAAUGGACAUGGAAACAAGAACUGGAAAUUGGGCGUCUGGUAUUCUCAUGGAUGGCUUGCAGGACUUCCUUACGGGAUUUGGGUACGAAGGUGCAACACUCAGUUCUACUUUCUCAGAUUCAGAUCACCAUCUCAAACUCGCCACCUUCAAAAUGCAUCGAGAUCCUCACCACUUGUUAUCAUCUCUUUCAG
RNAcentral lists this long non-coding RNA (567 nucleotides) under Equus asinus (donkey). RNAcentral's name for it is "lncRNA (ENSEASG00005037299.1)". Lineage: Eukaryota; Metazoa; Chordata; Mammalia; Perissodactyla; Equidae. The record is from RNAcentral.